This 433-nucleotide ribosomal RNA is filed under the name uncultured bacterium. Its description in RNAcentral is "partial 16S ribosomal RNA". It matches the Rfam family "Bacterial small subunit ribosomal RNA", at positions 29 to 507 of the family's 1533-position model. The record is from RNAcentral.
AACGAACGCUGGCGGCAUGCCUAACACAUGCAAGUCGAACGACACCUUCGGGUCUAGUGGCGCACGCGUGCGUCACGCGUGGGACCCUGCCCUUAUGUUCCGAAUAACUCCCCGAAAGGGGUGCUAAUACCGGAUAAUGUCUUCUGAUCACAGAUUGAUCGUCCUUGGAUGGGCCCGCGUUGGAUUAGCUAGUUGGUAUGGUAAAAGCCUAUCAAGGCUACGAUCCAUAGCUGGUCUGAGAGGAUGAUCAGCCACACUCGGACUGAGACACGGCCCAGAAUCCUACGGGAGGCAGGAGUGGGGAAUAUUGGAAAAUGGGCGAAAGCCUGAACCAGCAAUGCCGCGUGAGUGAUGAAGGCCUUAGGGUUGUAAAGCUCUUUUACCCGGGAUGAUAAUGACGGUACCGGGAGAAUAAGCUCCGGCUAACUCCGUG